UGGGCUCGUGGUCUAGUUGGCUAUGACGUCGCCUUCACACGGCGAAGAUCUCGUGUUCGAAUCACGACGGGCCCAU
This 76-nucleotide transfer RNA is filed under the name Methanoregulaceae archaeon PtaU1.Bin222. RNAcentral's name for it is "tRNA-Val". It matches the Rfam family "tRNA". Rfam says of the family: Transfer RNA (tRNA) molecules are approximately 80 nucleotides in length. Their secondary structure includes four short double-helical elements and three loops (D, anti-codon, and T loops). Lineage: Archaea; Methanobacteriati; Methanobacteriota; Methanomicrobia; Methanomicrobiales; Methanoregulaceae. The record is from RNAcentral.